UAGUAAUAGAAGUAAUUUUACUUAACCUUUAAUUUACAAGACUAACACUCUGUUUUUGAGCUACUAUUACU
This 71-nucleotide transfer RNA is filed under the name Cryptonatica andoi. RNAcentral describes it as "tRNA-Thr". Lineage: Eukaryota; Metazoa; Mollusca; Gastropoda; Littorinimorpha; Naticidae. The record is from RNAcentral.